This 482-nucleotide ribosomal RNA is filed under the name uncultured bacterium. Its description in RNAcentral is "partial 16S ribosomal RNA". It matches the Rfam family "Bacterial small subunit ribosomal RNA", at positions 30 to 507 of the family's 1533-position model. The record is from RNAcentral.
AUUGAACGCUGGCGGCAUGCUUUACACAUGCAAGUCGAACGGCAGCGCGGGGCAACCUGGCGGCGAGUGGCGAACGGGUGAGUAAUACAUCGGAACGUACCCAGAAGUGGGGGAUAACGUAGCGAAAGUUACGCUAAUACCGCAUACGUUCUACGGAAGUAAGUGGGGGACCUUCGGGCCUCAUGCUUUUGGAGCGGCCGAUGUCUGAUUAGCUAGUUGGUGAGGUAAAGGCUCACCAAGGCGACGAUCAGUAGCUGGUCUGAGAGGACGACCAGCCACACUGGGACUGAGACACGGCCCAGACUCCUACGGGAGGCAGCAGUGGGGAAUUUUGGACAAUGGGCGCAAGCCUGAUCCAGCAAUGCCGCGUGAGUGAAGAAGGCCUUCGGGUUGUAAAGCUCUUUUGUCAGGGAAGAAACGGCUGAGGAUAAUACCUUCGGCUAAUGACGGUACCUGAAGAAUAAGCACCGGCUAACUACGUG